Molecule: transfer RNA, 63 nt
Filed under: Gammaproteobacteria bacterium
Lineage: Bacteria; Pseudomonadati; Pseudomonadota; Gammaproteobacteria
Description: tRNA-Ser
Rfam family: tRNA
About the family: Transfer RNA (tRNA) molecules are approximately 80 nucleotides in length. Their secondary structure includes four short double-helical elements and three loops (D, anti-codon, and T loops). Further hydrogen bonds mediate the characteristic L-shaped molecular structure. tRNAs have two regions of fundamental functional importance: the anti-codon, which is responsible for specific mRNA codon recognition, and the 3' end, to which the tRNAs corresponding amino acid is attached (by aminoacyl-tRNA synthetases). tRNAs cope with the degeneracy of the genetic code in two manners: having more than one tRNA (with a specific anti-codon) for a particular amino acid; and 'wobble' base-pairing, i.e. permitting non-standard base-pairing at the 3rd anti-codon position.
Source: RNAcentral
GCGCUUUUGAGUAUCUGGCUUCGAACCAGGUGGUCGGGGGUUCGAAUCCCUCCGGGCGCGCCA